UACGGAGGUGGCAAGCGUUGCUCGGAAUCACUGGGCGUAAAGGGCGCGUAGGCGGGGAGGUAAGUCGGGUGUGAAAUCCCUCGGCCCAACCGAGGAACUGCGCCCGAGACUGCUUCUCUUGAGUCCCGGAGAGGAAGAUGGAAUUCCCGGUGUAGCGGUGAAAUGUGUGGAGAUCGGGAGGAACACCGGUGGCGAAGGCGGUCUUCUGGACGGUGACUGACGCUGAGGCGCGAAAGCGUGGGGAGCAAACGGG
This 253-nucleotide ribosomal RNA is filed under the name uncultured bacterium. RNAcentral describes it as "partial 16S ribosomal RNA". It matches the Rfam family "Bacterial small subunit ribosomal RNA", at positions 524 to 776 of the family's 1533-position model. The record is from RNAcentral.